Molecule: transfer RNA, 67 nt
Filed under: Brachionus calyciflorus
Lineage: Eukaryota; Metazoa; Rotifera; Eurotatoria; Ploima; Brachionidae
Description: tRNA-Arg
Source: RNAcentral
AUACAUAAUAACUAAGUUUUAUUUAGCUACGAACUAAAAAGGAACGGUGUAAUUCCGUUUAUGUAUA